RNAcentral lists this long non-coding RNA (724 nucleotides) under Parus major (Great Tit). RNAcentral describes it as "lncRNA (ENSPMJG00000004439.1)". Lineage: Eukaryota; Metazoa; Chordata; Aves; Passeriformes; Paridae. The record is from RNAcentral.
GUCACAUUUCCUUUGGGGGCUGCUGCUCACCAAGGCCAGCAGAGCUCCUGUGCCAGCUCUGGAGCUGCUCCCUGAGCAAGGGCUGGCUCAUUUGUGCUGCUGGAGUGACAAAUAAUGGGAUUUCACCGACUGUUCUGCUUCCCCUUGUGCAUGUACAGGACUGAAAGGAAGCUUUCAGUAGUGCCAGUGAUCUUCCUGCAGAUGUCCUGGUGUUGUGCUGUGGAUGGAAGGAACAUCAAACCAAACCACUGUUUCCUGAGUGUGCAGGGAGGACAUUGGUGCCAGCACUGAUUCAUGGGUUCCAUUGUGAUUUAUGCCCUCUGGAGCUUUGUCAGAUAGGAAGUGAUGAUGGGACAGGAAGCCAGGCAUUGUAAGAGAACAUCCAUGAGUAUGUAACUGGAGGAAAAAGCUGCAAAAAUAAUUUAUGGAAGAUGUUAUAAAGCUGUACAGUCUGUAUGAAAAUAGAUCUAUGAUUGUGCACAGCUGGAAAUUGUAAUUGUUGAAAAUACUGCGAGCCAGUGACUGAUUUUUACGGGGGGAAGAGUCUGGUCUUGUGUUUGAGCAGUGUCAGAGAAAGCACUGGAAGGAUUAAAUCCCCCCUUCUCUCUGCCUUGUGUGAGCUCUGCUAAUGAAAGUUUUCUGAAAAAUACUUGUGAAAUUACCUCAGAUAUACAACUUAUAAACUAGCAAUAAAUUCUUCAUCUUGAAGGCUGGGGCUUAAUUA